Molecule: ribosomal RNA, 237 nt
Filed under: uncultured bacterium
Lineage: Bacteria
Description: partial 16S ribosomal RNA
Rfam family: Bacterial small subunit ribosomal RNA
Source: RNAcentral
GAUCUGGCUCGGGAUGAACGCUAGCUACAGGCUUAACACAUGCAAGUCGAGGGGCAGCAUGGUCUUAGCUUGCUAAGGCCGAUGGCGACCGGCGCACGGGUGAGUAACGCGUAUCCAACCUGCCUUACACUCUUGGACAGCCUUCUGAAAGGGAGAUUAAUACAAGAUGUUAUCAUGAGUAAGCAUUUUCACAUGAUUAAAGGUUUACCGGUGUAAGAUGGGGAUGCGUUCCAUUAG